RNAcentral lists this ribosomal RNA (253 nucleotides) under uncultured bacterium. RNAcentral describes it as "partial 16S ribosomal RNA". It matches the Rfam family "Bacterial small subunit ribosomal RNA", at positions 524 to 776 of the family's 1533-position model. The record is from RNAcentral.
UACGUAGGGUGCAAGCGUUGUCCGGAAUUAUUGGGCGUAAAGAGCUCGUAGGUGGUUUGUCGCGUUGUUCGUGAAAACUCACAGCUCAACUGUGGGCGUGCGGGCGAUACGGGCAGACUAGAGUACUGCAGGGGAGACUGGAAUUCCUGGUGUAGCGGUGAAAUGCGCAGAUAUCAGGAAGAACACCCGUGGCUAAGGCGGCUCUCUAGUACGGUACUGACGCUGAGACGCGAAAGCGUGGGGAGCGAACAGG